This 249-nucleotide ribosomal RNA is filed under the name uncultured Lactobacillus sp. RNAcentral's name for it is "partial 16S ribosomal RNA". It matches the Rfam family "Bacterial small subunit ribosomal RNA", at positions 114 to 355 of the family's 1533-position model. Lineage: Bacteria; Bacillati; Bacillota; Bacilli; Lactobacillales; Lactobacillaceae. The record is from RNAcentral.
CACGUGGGGAACCUGCCCCAUAGUCUGGGAUACCACUUGGAAACAGGUGCUAAUACCGGAUAAGAAAGCAGAUCGCAUGAUCAGCUUUUAAAAGGCGGCGUAAGCUGUCGCUAUGGGAUGGCCCCGCGGUGCAUUAGUUAGUUGGUAAGGUAAAGGCUUACCAAGGCGAUGAUGCAUAGCCGAGUUGAGAGACUGAUCGGCCACAUUGGGACUGAGACACGGCCCAAACUCCUACGGGAGGCAGCAGCU